This is a non-coding RNA of Podarcis lilfordi (Lilford's wall lizard), 3539 nucleotides long. NCBI's taxonomy places the organism in Eukaryota, Metazoa, Chordata, Lepidosauria, Squamata, Lacertidae. The record is from the annotation of a GenBank genome assembly.
AGAGGGGCAAGUGCACGUGUGGAAGAAAGGGCCCAUCCCCGAGCCGGAAGCUGGCGUUUGUUAGGAGCCAGUUCUUCUUUGCGAACGAGCAGCUUUUUGGUUAGGAGAAGGUGGCAUUGCAGCAAUAGGGGCGCAAGUGGGACCGGAGCCCAUCUGCGGGAGACCAGUGGCACCUCCGGGCCUCGCGGGUAAAGGAUAAGGCCUGCUUUAAGUGGGCUGCCAUUAAUCCAAAGGAUGCACAAGGGUCCUACAAACCGUGAGCUCAGGGUUUCAAAAUCAGUCUGCCAUAGCAAUGAGAAGAACUUGGGAGUAGCGGCUGUAGCAACAGCAGCAAUAAACAUUGGUCUGAAACGGGAGAUGCCCCACGUGCGUGGCAGCUGUGCCACGUCUAGAAUAUGUGUGUGUUGGGCAAGAGGGCACUCCCACUAAUCUGGAAUGUGCAAGGCCUGCAGACCAGCCAUUUUCAGGGGCACCUAGGAAUGCAUAUUUUCUUGCCAAAGGCAUUUACAAGCGUAUUUGAGAAACACUCAUUUGGAGCGGGAGAUUGGAGCCAAACGCUAGAAAGGGAAAUGUUUUAAUAUACAAAUUACUGUAUAAGCCUCACAUGGCGGAGACAUAAAAAUCCUUAGUGCAGUGUGGGACCUUUUAAGUAAAGUGUGCAACACACAUUUUACAUUACAUAGGUAUUUCUUUGCAACAUACCUGCACUCCUUUUAGCUGGAUUUCGAUUCAGAAUUAUAAAAGGAAAAUCACCAGCUCUAUCCUCUCCCCACAGUAUUUAUUUGUGCUACACAUAAUGCCCAUGAAAGUAGAAUGCAUCACUACGCUGACAGGUAAUUGCAGCAAAAUGAGAUUAUAGAAUAAACAAAGUUUGCUUUUGCAUUGGUAUGUAUAGUAAAGGUAAAGGUACCCCUGCCCGUACGGGCCAGUCUUGAGACUCUAGGGUUGUGCGCUCAACUCACUCUAUAGGCCGGGAGCCAGCGCUGUCCGCAGACACUUCCGGGUCACGUGGCCAGCGUGACAAGCUGCAUGUGGCGAGCCAGCGCAGCACACGGAACGCCGUUUACCUUCCCGCUGGUAAGCGGUCCCUAUUUAUCUACUUGCACCCGGGGGUGCUUUCGAACUGAUAGGUUGGCAGGCGCUGGGACCAAACGAUGGGAGCGCACCCCGCCGUGGGGAUUCGAACUGCCGACCAUGCGAUCGGCAAGUCCUAGGCGCUGAGGUUUUACCCACAGCGCCACCCACGUCCCUAUUGGUAUGUAUACACAUGAAUAAUUAGCACUGUUUCCCAUAUUUGCUAUGUGUAGGUUUCCUUUUUUUCUCACCAGCUGUUGAAACCAACUUUUUGCUCACCCUGGAGGAACUGGCACAGCCCAACUUUAAUGUAGAAGUUGAAGCAAAAAUAGGAAUAGAAUGCAGCUCCGUCUUGUGUACUUGGGAAGAAUUGCCUUGUUUUUUGCUUGCCUGGAGUGGUUAUUGCUGAGUUGGGUCAUGGCAUGAGAGUUAAGCCUCUCCCAGCUGAUCAUCUAUAGCCAUAUCUUUGUUAAGAGUGAUGAAAAUGCACGCCAACCAUAAUCAGAGUAUUUAUUUAUUUUUAGCACAGAACUUAUUUAAAACCAACAAUUGGUUCCUUAAACUGUAAAAUCCAUUACAUCUUAAUUACAGAGUAUCUAAUUUCUGCAACCCAUAUUUAAACAUUAUUUUACUAGAUACAUUUUGGAAAAAAAUAUAUAUCCAUAUGUAUAUAGACACACUCAAGUCAUUCACAUGUGCUGACGAAAGUCUCUUCUCUAUGCAACAGAAUGAAAAUGUAGACAUGCCUCUCUCUUUCCCCACAAAGAAGGAAAAGCGGAAUGAGAAGUGGGGGGAGACACCCUCCUUUAUCACUCACUGCAUGUUUCCCCCAUAGCCAAGAGUUGCUUCGGACAGCAUCCACCAAAAACAGUACUUGGCUUCGGAGGCAGCUUCUGGUUCUUCUACGUCUUUAACCAAGCCUACCUCACCCUUUUAUUUCAACCCAUUCUUAUGCCCAGUAGAUUUCUGCUUGAUAUGGCCUAUAGAAAUGCUGAAGUUAGGAUGAGAUCCUGGAGAACCUGGAGAUGUUGCAAGGUACUAGAUAGAAAUUGAGUGACUGAAGGUUCCUACACCUUUGAAAGAGAAAAGGAGCACAAUUCCACUGAAUCUUAACAAUUUGUACUAUUUAUAUGGGCAAUUCAAUAGCAGGCAAUUGUCUCACUUCCUUGUUGCUAAAUGAGUUGGCUCCCAAGACUGCAGUUAUAACCUAAAUAUCUCAGGUAAAUCCUUUUUAUGUUAAGAAUGGACCACUUACCUUGCAUUCCUUUUCUUAACUUAGCUAAGCACUGCCUCGCUUUAUUUUUGCUAAAGGACAUAUUUCCUUUUUUGUAUAAUAUUUAUUAAUUUUCCAACAAUUUAAACACAACACUACAAAAGAAAAAGCAUAAGCUAAAGGACAUAUUUUCAGCUUACUUCACCUGCCUUUAAGGCUAACCUGUGGUGCUCCAGAAGUUGCUGGGACUCCCAACUCCCACACAAGCACAAAAAGAAAAAGUCUAGGCUAAGGACUGAUAGGAGUUAUAGUCCAAUGAUAUCUGGAUGGCCAGUAGUUUGUCUAGUGGAUAAAAAGCUUACCUUCAUUCUGUGGGACGCUGCUCUGACAGACUAGAAUAGUAACUUUGAAACUUGAGGCUUGCCUCCAAGUCUAAUCACCCGUCAGUGAACUCAGGUUGAAAUAUCACAUAGAUCAAGGUAGAUACUAUAGAGCUUGUGUUUACAUGGUUCAAACUCCAUCACUUUGAAGAUGUAGUCAGGCAAACAAGGUGUGUAUAACUUGUAAAGCCCAGAGAAAAUGCAUCUUCAUACAGUGCAGGUUAAUGGGAAAUGCACUUAAUGGUCUUAGUUGGUCUGGGUGCCUAUAUGCACAGAUGGUAGAUAUUUAGAUUUAUCCUUUUUGCACACAAGCAGCAAUCAAAGGUCUAUACUGCGUCUGAUCUGUGCAUGUAACCCUCUCUCCCUGCUACCCCCUCUACAUAGAGAAACUGACUGAUGGAUCAAUUAUUUCUGUUAACUGUAAUAAGUUAUCUUUAUGGUAAGUAUUCUAAAUAGUAUUUGGGCCUUGUUAGAAAGCAACCCUCACCCCAGAUUUCGUUAUGAAAGAAACACAUAUAUGGGGUGGCCAAAGUACUAUUUCUUUAAUGGGAAAAGUGCGUCCUGCACUGGAGUGGAAGAGCACACAGCCUCCAAGAACUCCUUGGGAAGAAGAGCAAUUGAACAGAAUGAAAAAUGGUUGUGAAAUGACAUGGCAAUACUGUGUGUGGUGGGGAGAUGAUGGGAGGUGGAUCCCUGCUCAUGUUUGGCCCUUUCAUUAUAUUUUAUCUUUUUAUUAAUUGUUCAUAUUUUAACAGAAUUACAAUUAUAUAUGAUCAAAUAAACUAUACAUUCAACAGCAUUAAAAUAGACAAUAUUCACAUCAGUAGUAAUAUAUUAAUACAACAAUAUACUCAGAAUCAGUAUGUUGACAU